RNAcentral lists this ribosomal RNA (253 nucleotides) under uncultured bacterium. Its description in RNAcentral is "partial 16S ribosomal RNA". It matches the Rfam family "Bacterial small subunit ribosomal RNA", at positions 524 to 776 of the family's 1533-position model. The record is from RNAcentral.
UACGUAGGGUGCAAGCGUUGUCCGGAAUUAUUGGGCGUAAAGAGCUCGUAGGCGGUUUGUCGCGUCGAAUGUGAAAUCCCGGGGCUCAACCCCGGGUCUGCAUUCGAUACGGGCAGACUAGAGUUCGGUAGGGGAGUCUGGAAUUCCUGGUGUAGCGGUGAAAUGCGCAGAUAUCAGGAGGAACACCGGUGGCGAAGGCGGGACUCUGGGCCGAUACUGACGCUGAGGCGCGAAAGCUAGGGGAGCGAACAGG